RNAcentral lists this ribosomal RNA (253 nucleotides) under uncultured bacterium. Its description in RNAcentral is "partial 16S ribosomal RNA". It matches the Rfam family "Bacterial small subunit ribosomal RNA", at positions 524 to 776 of the family's 1533-position model. The record is from RNAcentral.
UACAUGGGGUGCAAACGUUGCUCGGAAUUAUUGGGCGUAAAGCGCGCGUAGGCGGUUACUCAAGUCGGAUGUGAAAGCCCUCGGCUUAACUGAGGAAGUGCACCCGAAACUGAGUAGCUAGAGUACCAAAGAGGGUCGCGGAAUUCCCGGUGUAGAGGUGAAAUUCGUAGAUAUCGGGAGGAACACCGGUGGCGAAGGCGGCGACCUGGGUGGAUACUGACGCUCAUGCACGAAAGCGUGGGGAGCAAACAGG